RNAcentral lists this long non-coding RNA (425 nucleotides) under Sarcophilus harrisii (Tasmanian devil). Its description in RNAcentral is "lncRNA (ENSSHAG00000024462.1)". The record is from RNAcentral. Lineage: Eukaryota; Metazoa; Chordata; Mammalia; Dasyuromorphia; Dasyuridae.
CUGAAGGUGCAGCAGCAAAGCCAGUGGUGGUGCUCAGAAGGGGACAGAGUCUUCCAGAUGGGUCUGACCAGUACUGCCAGGACAAUUCAACCUCUUCCUUCUCCUUAACACCCUCCACAAAGGCAGGGGACCAGGAGGCUGCCUGCGGUGUUCCAAGCAUCCUGCUUCUGAUUUCCCUGGAUCUGAGGGGCUGAAACUCACAGGAGGGGGUGUGAAGAGGGGCCGAGAAGGAGGUACAGGACCUGUGCUGAUUUCUCAUAGAGUCUUCAUCCCAUGUGUACGAUGGCCUCCAACUCACCUCAACUGCAAUUUCCUUGAAGAAUGUUUCCUGAAAUGCAAGUUAAGACAACUCUGAGCACAGUGAGUCAUUCCUUUUUAAUACAGAAUGAAAAAGAAAGUGGGGCCACAAGAAUGGCCACGGGAAG